RNAcentral lists this signal recognition particle RNA (270 nucleotides) under Candidatus Acidifodinimicrobium mancum. RNAcentral's name for it is "signal recognition particle sRNA". It matches the Rfam family "Archaeal signal recognition particle RNA". Lineage: Archaea; Nanobdellati; Candidatus Parvarchaeota; Candidatus Acidifodinimicrobiaceae. The record is from RNAcentral.
UGGUGGGCUAACCGGGGAAUCAGUCCCUCCUUGUAAGCGCAAAUGGACUUUAGGCGCGGGUAAAAGCUCUGCCUAGGGUUAAUGACCCCAUACAAGAUGGUAAAGCUAUCUGAGAAGUGCGGUCCUAUAGGGGGCAUUUGCUCAAAAACCCAGCCAGGCCCGGAAGGGAGCAACUGUAAUUGAGUGGGUGCAAGCUUAUAGAUAAAUCGCAUGGAGAAAAUGUUGCCACCCUCUAUAUAGGUAGUUAAUUCAAAGCGGGGCAGCCUGCCA